AAUCAACGCUGGCGGCGUGCCUAACACAUGCAAGUCGCGCGCGAAAGGGGGGCAACUCCCAAGUAGAGCGGCGAACGGGUGAGUAACACGUGGGUAAUCUACCUUCGAGUGGGGAACAACACCGGGAAACUGGUGCUAAUUCCGCAUAACAUCGUCGGGGCUUCGGUUCUGACGCUCAAAGCUGGGGAUCGCAAGACCUAGCGCUUGAAGAUGAGCCCGCGUCCGAUUAGCUAGUGGCGGGGUAAUGGCCCACCAAGGCUUCGAUCGGUAGCCGGCCUGAGAGGGCGGACGGCCACACUGGAACUGAGACACGGUCCAGACUCCUACGGGAGGCAGCAGUGGGGAAUUUUUCGCAAUGGGGGCAACCCUGACGAAGCAACGCCGCGUGGGGGUGAAGGUCUUCGG
RNAcentral lists this ribosomal RNA (405 nucleotides) under uncultured bacterium. RNAcentral's name for it is "bacterial SSU rRNA". It matches the Rfam family "Bacterial small subunit ribosomal RNA", at positions 32 to 421 of the family's 1533-position model. The record is from RNAcentral.